UACAGAGGGUGCGAGCGUUGUCCGGAAUCACUGGGCGUAAAGGGCGCGUAGGCGGUCUCUUAAGCGUGUGGUGAAAGCCCGGGCUCAACUCCGGGUCGGCCGUGCGAACUGGGCUCACUGGAGCAUAGUAGAGGCAGGUGGAAUUCCGGGUGUAGCGGUGGAAUGCGUAGAGAUCCGGAAGAACACCGGUGGCGAAGGCGGCCUGCUGGGCUAUGGCUGACACUGAGGCGCGACAGCGUGGGGAGCAAACAGG
This 253-nucleotide ribosomal RNA is filed under the name uncultured bacterium. Its description in RNAcentral is "partial 16S ribosomal RNA". It matches the Rfam family "Bacterial small subunit ribosomal RNA", at positions 524 to 776 of the family's 1533-position model. The record is from RNAcentral.